Molecule: long non-coding RNA, 2362 nt
Organism: Schistocerca cancellata (South American locust)
Lineage: Eukaryota; Metazoa; Arthropoda; Insecta; Orthoptera; Acrididae
Exons: 7
Source: RefSeq, a predicted model, not a curated record
UGAGUUGUGGCCUGUGGGGCGCAGUAUGGGCAGCUGGGCGGCAGAAGCGGAAGCAUUGUACUGAAUCUGUUUCGAAGCAAUGACUUUUGUUUCGCACUGUUACUUAUCUUUGCUGAGAAAUAUUUUUGUACGAGAAAUAAGGAUAUAGAGAGAGAGAAAAAAAUGCCGAACCAUCGUUUCUGGUUGUACCAAAAAGAUACAAAUUAUUGCAUUUAUGCAGAACGGCACCAUAUUGGACACUGCUCCCUUUUCAAAAAAAGGGACCUAAAAGAUUUGGUUUAUGUGAAGUGAGGGCUACGGAGAAAUUGGAGAAACAGGCGGGAUGUAGAAUGAAAGUCACCAGUAACAUAAGAUGUGAAGGAAUAUUUCCCCAACAGUUAAGUGUGAAUACAUCUUAAUUGUGCUGUCAUGAUUCGCCAUGCUAAUGCGGAGAGGGGACAAGAAGAGGAGCUAGAGAGAAGAGCAAGAGGGAGAGAUGGUGACUAAUGGCAGAUGAAGGCAACACGUUAUAUAUCUUCCUGUAACAAGCCCCUUUGUUUGUUUGUUUGGUUUGGCCCAAACAGAUGUCUGUCGCAUCACUAUUCACAGAAUCUGUAGUGUCGUCAGCAUCAUCUUUAUGAAGUGUUCCAGUAGUGUGGCAGUGGUAGCAAAUGACCACAUCUGAAGACCAUGAUAGCACGCCAUCUCUCCCGAUUGUCAAUGAUACAGUUGCGUAUUUAAUGCAACAGAUAACCGUUCCUGAAUGGGGAGGGGAUCUGGUAUUUGACUGCCGUCUCAUGUGAUUGUUAAAUGAUGCACAACUAGCCAGUUCUUGUUCUUUGCAUUGCUAUCAGAGGAUCGGUGUCCUGUUAGAGGCAUAUUAACAUUCUUUACCAUGAUUGGCUGCACACUCUCAGGGUUGACGUCUGGUAACUUAAAUACAGCCAAAGCAAGCUGUGGGUAGCAACCCUAGAGAGAAACAUUGAGAGCUGCCCAACACUGUGUUCUGCUGCUGGAGUAGUUGAAACACGGCAAUAUCCUGGAAAUGGAUUGGCAACCUUGUCAUCAAUCACUUGCUUCCUGGACCAGAGCUGAAUUAUCCUUCUACAUUCUUAGGAAGAUGUACAAGAAGAAUGGUGUUUGGAGCAAGUGGAUUGAUGCUUGUGUCCAGUGUUUCAUAAGCUGUGCAUGUGUCCUUGUGGUGCCGACUAGCUUGUGCAGCCAUUGAGGUCACAAUUGGGAAUGAUGGCACACAAAGAAUUAUCUUAUGAUGUUCUUGCCUAAAUGUCCUGGUAAGGUUUAAACUCUUCAGUUUGAAGAGCUACGUUCUGGUGUGUUUGCAUCCUGUGGAUUCCCAGUGACAAACCACGUGAACUGACCCUAUUGUGGUAUUGUGGUUGGAGGCUAGACUGGCAAACAGACUUUAAUGCUGGAAGCUUGGUUUGCUGUCAGAUCCCUUUUCCUAAACUGUGUCCUUAUGCAAUAUUGUGUGUGUGUGUGUGUGUGUGUUUUCAGGCAAAACAAAUGCUAGUGGGCAUCUUUGAGUGCAUCUGCUGCACAUAGAUUGUAUUUGCUUAUGUACUGCUGCUGGAUAUAGGGACGUUCCAAUACCAGAUUCAAUAAGAUAUUUGGUAUCAAUACCAAUACAUACAGUUAUAUAGGUCUUGUGAUAAUAUAGAAACAAAAGUAUUGAUAUUGGAAAUACAGCAAGGUAUUGAUGGCUUUUUACAUAUUUUUGAGCUUUCCUUUAAGACAAAUGGUUUAGAAUACAGUGCAAAAUAUGGGACAUACACUGUAUGUACAUGAACUGACCUCAGUAUAAAGUGUAGUAUACACAAAGCAAUAACAGUGAAAUUUUCAAAAUUUCAACCAAAGUAGAGGCGUAGGUGUAAAUUUCAUCUAACACACAAAUGCCAUUCUUAAAAACAAAACUACUUUUGUAGUGAAAAGUUGCAUUUAACUGAAAUAUUCUGUUUUGAUAUGCUGGCUAAAAUAUUUAUUUUUGUUGGUUUUUGGCAAAAAUUUGAUUUCCCUGUUGCGAGAGUGGAGUGCCAGGUUUGUGGUUGGAGGGGUGUUUGUUGUUUCAUGAGGCACUGAAGUUGCCAUAUUGAGGAAAUGAAUGCUUGCGUGUUUCUACGAUGUGUGAAAAAAUGGUCUUAUUGUUCUCUCAUUCUGUUAGAGAAUUUGAUUUCAGAGGGUCAUCCUCUUCUGCCAGGAGCAAGGACAAGCUUCUAAUAUAUCCUCCCAAAAUAAGUGUCUUUACGUAUCGUCUUCCUCAUAUUUGCCAGAGGAACUUUCUCCAGAUGAAUAAUGGCUCAAGAAGUAUACUGACUGCAGAUAUGGAAUUUUCUGCUGCAGAUCAAACGGCUUCGACGUUUCAGCA